Oenanthe melanoleuca is the source of this 167-nucleotide long non-coding RNA. RefSeq lists it as uncharacterized. The transcript has 3 exons. The record is from RefSeq and is a predicted model, not a curated record. NCBI's taxonomy places the organism in Eukaryota, Metazoa, Chordata, Aves, Passeriformes, Muscicapidae.
CGGAGCCUCGGCGGCGGCGCGCGGCGGACAUGAACUCCGGCAGCCAAUAGGAGCAGAGGGCGGGGCCUGAGGGGGAAGGAGAGCGGCGCGAGCGGCGCGAGCGGAGGAGGGCGCCCCCCAGCGGACGCCUCGUGCCAGGAUGGGCUUGGACGGAGCCUACAAACAGG